Molecule: long non-coding RNA, 508 nt
Organism: Astatotilapia calliptera (eastern happy)
Lineage: Eukaryota; Metazoa; Chordata; Actinopteri; Cichliformes; Cichlidae
Source: Ensembl
UGUGUCAGUCAGUGCAGCAUACAGAGUAAAGACAAACAGAGUGCUUGGAUUUUGAACAUUUUUGGAGACUGAAUGUUUUUUUUAAAGAACAAUAAGGGUUCGUUUGACUUUGGGACCUGAAGCGGACGGAGUUUUGGACCCAGAUUACUCUGCGAGGCUCCUGACUACGGUAGCUGUAAUGAUCCGACUAUCCAUCAAGAGAUUUCUUUGUUUGCUUUGGGUCCCUGCUGAAGAUAAAGAUGAUGCGGUCUUAGGGCUCAGAACUCAACAGUGAUGUCCUUCCUUCGGAUCAUGUCUUUAACACUUCAUAGAACUGCCAGGAAGGAUCAUUUUGUCCAAUUCUGCAACAACAGCAGUAAUGGAAGAGACCCCAUUUGUCGGAGAAGUCAAAGUAAGCUUAAUCUAAGUUUUUUUUUUUUAAUUGUAAAUAAGAUUUGAAAAAAAAAGUAUUUAAGAUUUUAGGUGCUUCAUUAAGUUGAUGAUUAGCUUGAUAAUCGACUGAUUUCAU